This 787-nucleotide small RNA is filed under the name Pan troglodytes (chimpanzee). RNAcentral's name for it is "processed transcript". Lineage: Eukaryota; Metazoa; Chordata; Mammalia; Primates; Hominidae. The record is from RNAcentral.
CCGGUCCCCACCUGGGUGGACCGGACAGCCUCUUGGGCUUCUGGUAAAAUGAGUUAGCUCUUAAAUUUUCACACAUAUAAAGCACUAGACUUGCUACCGUGAAUGAUGUAAGAGGUCACCGUGAGGAGGAGGGCUCCUGGAAGCUUGCCCCGUCGCGGGGAAAAGCGGGUGCAGGAUGGGUGAAGUGGAUUCUCCUCGCGGUGUUGGAGUGGACCUGCCGUGUCAUGGGAAGCCAGUCUACCCACUUAUCCUGCAUGGGAUUUUCAAGCCGUUUAUACCAGAGAGGCCACAGAACCCUUGCCUCGGAAUCCGUGUAUGUGGUCUCCCUGCAGUCCAUGAACUCUCAGGGCCGGAGCCAACCAGUCUACAGGGCUGCCCUAACAAAGCGAAAGAUUUCAGAAGAGGACGAAUUGGAUGUACCUGACGACAUCAGCGUCCGGGUUAUGUCAUCUCAGUCUGUGCUUGUGUCCUGGGUGGAUCCUGUUCUGGAAAAACAGAAGAAAGUUGUUGCAUCAAGACAGUACACCGUGCGCUAUCGAGAGAAGGGGGAAUUGGCCAGGUGGGAUUAUAAGCAGAUCGCUAACAGGCGUGUGCUGAUUGAGAACCUGAUUCCAGACACUGUGUAUGAAUUUGCAGUCCGUAUUUCACAGGGUGAAAGAGAUGGCAAAUGGAGUACGUCAGUCUUCCAAAGAACACCAGAAUCUGCCCCUACCACAGCUCCUGAAAACUUGAACGUCUGGCCAGUCAAUGGCAAACCUACAGUUGUCGCUGCAUCUUGGGAUGCGCU